This 88-nucleotide transfer RNA is filed under the name Candidatus Burkholderia pumila. RNAcentral's name for it is "tRNA-Ser". It matches the Rfam family "tRNA". From Rfam's summary of the family: Transfer RNA (tRNA) molecules are approximately 80 nucleotides in length. Lineage: Bacteria; Pseudomonadati; Pseudomonadota; Betaproteobacteria; Burkholderiales; Burkholderiaceae. The record is from RNAcentral.
GGAGAGGUGGCAGAGUGGUCGAAUGUACCUGACUCGAAAUCAGGCAUACGGUUUUCCCGUAUCGUGGGUUCGAAUCCCACCCUCUCCG